RNAcentral lists this long non-coding RNA (1091 nucleotides) under Canis lupus familiaris (dog). RNAcentral describes it as "lncRNA (ENSCAFG00000051568.1)". The record is from RNAcentral. Lineage: Eukaryota; Metazoa; Chordata; Mammalia; Carnivora; Canidae.
AGCCAAAGAAGUUUAUUGCUAAUUUAGAAGAACUGGAAAUAAUAUUUUUAAUUAGUAAGACUUUUAUGGUAGUUUUUAAAAAUUUUUUUGCACUGAGGACAUAUAGACGGUUAGACUAGUUAUUUAUUUGCAUGCUGAAUCCUAGUACAGAAAUAUAAUCCCACAUUUUAACAUUGCUCCUCUAUGGGAAAAUAAAGUCAACUUUAUGUAAUCCAGAAAUUGUCAGUGAUUAAAAACUUCAAAAUAAUUUUCCUGAGUUUUCAGUUUCAUGCCUAGGUAAAAAUGAAUUCCUUUAAAAUUGUGGAGUAAAACGUUUUUUCUCCCUCAAUGCCUUCACCGUCUACCUUUAACAAUGUUUUUAAUGUGUAGCUUAUUAGAAAUAAAAACCUUAGAUUAUACUGUAUCCGUUGACUUUUCCCCAGUAACGGAUUUCCUGUUUCAUCACUUUUCUCUUACUACUGCUUCUGUAUAUCUCAUUCAUACUAGUAUGGAUAUAAUAAAACCAAUUUCAAUACAGAAAGUAGAAUUUUAGAUAGUAUGCAGGUAACUUAACCUUCAGUUCUUGAGCCGAAAAUACAGAAAGACUGAAUCUGGAAAAUAUGGUAACCAACACAAAUUUGAAGCCUUAUUCUCUGUAGAUGCAAAAAUGUGCCAAAAAGCGUAGGAAAAUACAUACCAAGGCUCGAUAAGGAGUUAGAAAGCAAGAGGGAUUUAGAAUCUUAGUAUUCUGCUGUUAAUUUCCCUCCUGCCUUUGCUGUCCCAGUUACCUAAGUGGGGAGUGGAUAAUUUCCAUCUCAUACCGUUUCUUUUUCAUUCCUAUUAUCCCAGAUCAUGAAUCUGGUGUAUUGCUGCUUUACGUCUGUCCCUUUCCAAGUGAGGCUUUGAGAGCCUGAAGACUAUUUAGAGAGUGAAUCAUCUGAUAAAGAUAAUUUGAAAUGCAUACCUGCAAGUGAGCAGUAGGCUGGCCAACUAAUACUUCAAUCUACUUUGAAUCUGCUUUGCAAUGAAGAAAACUAAACACAGUGAUGUUACAGAAAGUGCAUUUAGGUGGAAAAGGACCUCCGAGGUGAAAUGUAGGUUAAGACCUAAAU